AGAUUGAACGCUGGCGGCAGGCCUAACACAUGCAAGUCGAGCGGCAGCACGGGUACUUGUACCUGGUGGCGAGCGGCGGACGGGUGAGUAAUGCCUAGGAAUCUGCCUGGUAGUGGGGGGAUAACGCUCGGAAACGGACGCUAAUACCGCAUACGUCCUACGGGAGAAAGCGAGGGGACCUUCGGGCCUUGCGCUAUCAGAUGAGCCGUAGGUCGGAUUACGCUAGUUGGUGAGGUAAGUGGCUCACCGAAGGCGACGAUCCGUAACUCGGUCUGAGAGGAUGAUCACGUACACACGUAGGAACUAGAGACGUACCGGU
RNAcentral lists this ribosomal RNA (319 nucleotides) under uncultured soil bacterium. Its description in RNAcentral is "bacterial SSU rRNA". It matches the Rfam family "Bacterial small subunit ribosomal RNA", at positions 26 to 335 of the family's 1533-position model. The record is from RNAcentral.